UGGGGAAUAUUGCACAAUGGGCGAAAGCCUGAUGCAGCAACGCCGCGUGAGGGAUGACGGCCUUCGGGUUGUAAACCUCUUUUAGUAGGGAAGAAGCGAAAGUGACGGUACCUGCAGAAAAAGCACCGGCUAACUACGUGCCAGCAGCCGCGGUAAUACGUAGGGUGCAAGCGUUGUCCGGAAUUAUUGGGCGUAAAGAGCUCGUAGGCGGUUUGUCGCGUCUGCUGUGAAAUCCGGAGGCUCAACCUCGGGUCUGCAGUGGGUACGGGCAGACUAGAGUGUGGUAGGGGAGAUUGGAAUUCCUGGUGUAGCGGUGGAAUGCGCAGAUAUCAGGAGGAACACCGAUGGCGAAGGCAGAUCUCUGGGCCAUUACUGACGCUGAGGAGCGAAAGCAUGGGGAGCGAACA
Molecule: ribosomal RNA, 407 nt
Filed under: uncultured bacterium
Lineage: Bacteria
Description: partial 16S ribosomal RNA
Rfam family: Bacterial small subunit ribosomal RNA
Source: RNAcentral